Molecule: ribosomal RNA, 220 nt
Filed under: uncultured soil bacterium
Lineage: Bacteria
Description: partial 16S ribosomal RNA
Rfam family: Bacterial small subunit ribosomal RNA
Source: RNAcentral
AGAUUGAACGCUGGCGGCAGGCCUAACACAUGCAAGUCGAGCGGCAGCACGGGUACUUGUACCUGGUGGCGAGCGGCGGACGGGUGAGUAAUGCCUAGGAAUCUGCCUGGUAGUGGGGGAUAACGCUCGGAAACGGACGCUAAUACCGCAUACGUCCUACGGGAGAAAGCAGGGGACCUUCGGGCCUUGCGCUAUCAGAUGAGCCUAGGUCGAUUAGCUA